UUUAACUCAUGCCACAAAUGAAAUUGUUGUACUUGUAUCUGCAUUUCUCUUUUUUAUGUUUCUCCAACAGUUCAAUAGGGAAGAAUACACCUCACAGGGGAGAAAACCUCUGGUGGUCCAAGCUGAAGGAUGUUCCAAAAUAGGGAAAAUGAAAUAAAAAAUAUCUGAUGCUGCUGUCUUUGUUUUUUGAGGGCCCAUUGAUUUGAAUAAAACAAGCUGUAUGAGAGAUUGAUUCCUCUUGACUAUCCAGCGUUCCAGUCCUGUGUCUGCAUCGAUCCUGCUGAAGCUCGCUCGCAUCUGUGUACUGGGACUUUUAAAUAGAAGCUAUAGUCAAUCCAUGGACUUUUUAUGGAUGACAGAAUGCCAUUGUUUGUUGUCUUUGGUUGAAACAAUACAUUGCAGCUGAGACGCUAUUUCCCAUUUACAUUUUUGUAUGUGAAAGUCACAGUAUUUUAUUGUCUUACCAGAGUGUAGAGGGGAAGGUUUGUUUGAUCUAUUUGUGUUAGUUUCUUUGUCUACUCCGUUUUAUUUUUAUUGUAUUUUAGUUUUUAUAUUCUGUAUUUUUAUUGUAUGUUGGCCCUUUUAUAUCCUGUUUGCCCCUUAGUGUGUUUGUGCUUCCCCACCUUUUACUGAGCUUCUACA
This is a long non-coding RNA of Acipenser ruthenus (sterlet), 642 nucleotides long. RefSeq lists it as uncharacterized. The transcript is spliced from 3 exons. The record is from RefSeq and is a predicted model, not a curated record. Lineage: Eukaryota; Metazoa; Chordata; Actinopteri; Acipenseriformes; Acipenseridae.